Molecule: unclassified non-coding RNA, 391 nt
Filed under: soil metagenome
Description: partial contains 5.8S ribosomal RNA, internal transcribed spacer 2, and large subunit ribosomal RNA
Rfam family: 5.8S ribosomal RNA (bases 1-122)
Source: RNAcentral
GAUGAAGAACGUAGCGAAAUGCGAUACUUGGUGUGAAUUGCAGAAUCCCGUGAACCAUCGAGUCUUUGAACGCAAGUUGCGCCCGAAGCCAUUAGGCCGAGGGCACGCCUGCCUGGGCGUCACACGUCGUUGCCCCCCCAUCUACUCCUUCGGGAUUGCGGGGGGCGGAUGAUGGCCUCCCGUGCGCCUCGUCGCGCGGUUGGCAUAAAUGCCAAGUCCUCGGCGACACACGCCACGACAAUCGGUGGUUGCGAAACCUCGGUUGCUCGUCGUGUGCGGUCGUCGCGCAUCGAGGGCUCGAAAAAAUUGCCGGGCUCCGGCUCGGCUUUCAACGCGACCCCAGGUCAGGCGGGGUUACCCGCUGAAUUUAAGCAUAUCAAUAAGCGGAGGA